GGGCCGAUAGUUCAGUUGGGAGAAUGUCUGGUUCGCAAUCAGAAGGUCGGGGGUUCGACUCCCCCUCGGUCCA
Molecule: transfer RNA, 73 nt
Filed under: Candidatus Omnitrophota bacterium
Lineage: Bacteria; Pseudomonadati; Candidatus Omnitrophota
Description: tRNA-Ala
Rfam family: tRNA
About the family: Transfer RNA (tRNA) molecules are approximately 80 nucleotides in length. Their secondary structure includes four short double-helical elements and three loops (D, anti-codon, and T loops).
Source: RNAcentral